UACGAGUGGUGCAAGCAUUAAUCGGAUUUAUUGGGCGUAAAGGGCGCGUAGGCGGAGAUAAUAGUCAGAUGUGAAAUCCUGGGGCUCAACCUCAGAACUGCAUUUGAAACUGUAUCUCUAGAGGGUAGGAGGAGAAAACGGAAUUCCACAAGUAGCGGUGAAAUGCGUAGGUAUGUGGAAGAACACCGGUGGCGAAGGCGGUUUUCUAUCUUAUUCCUGACGCUAAGGCGCGAAAGCAAGGGGAUCAAACAGG
RNAcentral lists this ribosomal RNA (253 nucleotides) under uncultured bacterium. RNAcentral describes it as "partial 16S ribosomal RNA". It matches the Rfam family "Bacterial small subunit ribosomal RNA", at positions 524 to 776 of the family's 1533-position model. The record is from RNAcentral.